GCCUUCAUGGUGUAGUGGUCAACAGACUGAGCCGGUAUUUCAGAGGUCCGUGGUUCGAUUCCCGGCGAAGGCC
This 73-nucleotide transfer RNA is filed under the name Stegodyphus mimosarum. It matches the Rfam family "tRNA". From Rfam's summary of the family: Transfer RNA (tRNA) molecules are approximately 80 nucleotides in length. Their secondary structure includes four short double-helical elements and three loops (D, anti-codon, and T loops). Lineage: Eukaryota; Metazoa; Arthropoda; Arachnida; Araneae; Eresidae. The record is from Rfam by way of RNAcentral.